RNAcentral lists this ribosomal RNA (954 nucleotides) under Klebsiella pneumoniae. RNAcentral describes it as "partial 23S ribosomal RNA". It matches the Rfam family "Bacterial large subunit ribosomal RNA", at positions 104 to 1101 of the family's 2925-position model. The record is from RNAcentral. Lineage: Bacteria; Pseudomonadati; Pseudomonadota; Gammaproteobacteria; Enterobacterales; Enterobacteriaceae.
CCGGCGAUGUCCGAAUGGGGAAACCCAGUGCAAUUCGUUGCACUAUCGUUAACUGAAUACAUAGGUUAACGAGGCGAACCGGGGGAACUGAAACAUCUAAGUACCCCGAGGAAAAGAAAUCAACCGAGAUUCCCCCAGUAGCGGCGAGCGAACGGGGAGCAGCCCAGAGUCUGAAUCAGCUUGUGUGUUAGUGGAACGGUCUGGAAAGUCCGACGGUACAGGGUGAUAGUCCCGUACACCAAAAUGCACAGGCUGUGAACUCGAAGAGUAGGGCGGGACACGUGGUAUCCUGUCUGAAUAUGGGGGGACCAUCCUCCAAGGCUAAAUACUCCUGACUGACCGAUAGUGAACCAGUACCGUGAGGGAAAGGCGAAAAGAACCCCGGCGAGGGGAGUGAAAAAGAACCUGAAACCGUGUACGUACAAGCAGUGGGAGCACCUUCGGGUGUGACUGCGUACCUUUUGUAUAAUGGGUCAGCGACUUAUAUUCUGUAGCAAGGUUAACCGUAUAGGGGAGCCGCAGGGAAACCGAGUCUUAACUGGGCGUUAAGUUGCAGGGUAUAGACCCGAAACCCGGUGAUCUAGCCAUGGGCAGGUUGAAGGUUGGGUAACACUAACUGGAGGACCGAACCGACUAAUGUUGAAAAAUUAGCGGAUGACUUGUGGCUGGGGGUGAAAGGCCAAUCAAACCGGGAGAUAGCUGGUUCUCCCCGAAAGCUAUUUAGGUAGCGCCUCGUGAAUUCAUCUUCGGGGGUAGAGCACUGUUUCGGCUAGGGGGUCAUCCCGACUUACCAACCCGAUGCAAACUACGAAUACCGAAGAAUGUUAUCACGGGAGACACACGGCGGGUGCUAACGUCCGUCGUGAAGAGGGAAACAACCCAGACCGCCAGCUAAGGUCCCAAAGUCAUGGUUAAGUGGGAAACGAUGUGGGAAGGCACAGACAGCCAGGAUGU